AAGGAAAAAGCCGAAAAUCCUGCAAAGAGUAGGCA
This 35-nucleotide non-coding RNA is filed under the name unclassified sequences. Its description in RNAcentral is "DUF805b RNA". It matches the Rfam family "DUF805b RNA". From Rfam's summary of the family: Bacteroidetes, Chlorobi (1 example), Proteobacteria. Lineage (Flavobacteria) The record is from RNAcentral.